AAAUCCUUGAGGACUAGAUGCUCUAAUGCUGAAGUGGAAAUGACUCGAGUCAUUUGGACCAAAAUCAUCUACUCCCCACACCUCCUUUGAUUCCAUAUACUCAAGCCACACAUGAUCCAAAUCAACUGAUGAGCAGCACUUGAUGCAUGUCGCAACUUUGCAAUUAAUGGAUCUUGUAAG
Molecule: long non-coding RNA, 180 nt
Organism: Rhodamnia argentea
Lineage: Eukaryota; Viridiplantae; Streptophyta; Magnoliopsida; Myrtales; Myrtaceae
Exons: 3
Source: RefSeq, a predicted model, not a curated record